GGCCGGGUAGAGUGGCCGCGUCGUCAUCACACCCGUACGGGGGGAAGCCGGUGCAAUUCCGGCGCUGACCCGCAACCGUGAGCCGUCCCGUCCGGGCGGCGAGCCGGAUCGCCCCGCGCGGAGCAGUUGACCGGC
This 135-nucleotide non-coding RNA is filed under the name Streptomyces sp. Lineage: Bacteria; Bacillati; Actinomycetota; Actinomycetes; Kitasatosporales; Streptomycetaceae. The record is from RNAcentral.